Molecule: long non-coding RNA, 3534 nt
Filed under: Heterocephalus glaber (naked mole-rat)
Lineage: Eukaryota; Metazoa; Chordata; Mammalia; Rodentia; Bathyergidae
Description: lncRNA (ENSHGLG00100047454.1)
Source: RNAcentral
UAAUAAUCUGCACUUUCUUAGACCACACCAGACUCUUGAGCCAACUAGAUGGUCAUUAGGCAGCAACAGUAGUGUAUUUCCACAGCUCUCACCUCUGUCUGCCCCGGUGAAAUGCUCCUGUGCCCACAGUCCCUAUACUUUUGAGGAUAUCUUUGAUGGAUCCACAAAUGCAUCCUCUCCACCCCACAUGGAAGCCUCCAUUUCAUGCAUUUCUGUGAUCUGCUCUCGGUCUCUUAUCUCUGUGAAGCAGCCUAUGACCUAAUGCCCACCAGGGGCACUAGACUUGGGAUGUCAGACAAGGUGUCCCAAUUCAGGUGAUGCUCAGACAUGUGGGCAGGUCUGAGUUGGUGACUGAUGAUUGAUUUCCAUGGCCAUACUGUCUGUCAGGCAGGUAGUCUGGCAGGUUUACUGGGAGCUCCAAAGAACACGAAAAUGAUGGCUGAGUCCAUUUCCUUGAACUUUUGGCUCCAGGGCUCAAAGCAAAGCAUCCAAUUGCUCCUGAAAUCUUCCAGAAAUUCAAGUGUAGCAGCUUUUUCUUAUUUGCUCGCAAGGCCAUUCCUGAUGGCCAGGGAGGAGUCCCUGGGGAUCAAGCUAGAUGGCACUGUUGGAGCAUAUACCUAACUACUGGUGCUCACAUCACCUCUUUCCUCCCAUGGUGAGAUACUGGUCUUAUUCUCACCCUUCCCUUUCUCCACAGUUACUUCUUUGCUAAGAAGCUACUUUGAUCCACAUGCAAAUAUCUUCCUGGAACUCCCACUUCCUUAUCUGUGGUUUGUUUUUCAACUGUUUUGGAGGAGUCUUUUAUUUGGGAAUUGUCAAAUCCUAAAGUGAACACAGAUCCAUCUCAUGCCGGACCUUUGCACCAAAACAUCUUUAAAAUAUCAAAUUUAUGUGAUUCUUUCAUCCUUCCAUUUCAAUUUAAAAGUUAGUGGCUCAACCAUUGAAUUCAUCUACCCACAGAGUCCCAUCUCAGGGCUGGCUUCUUGCCAAGAUUUUGGGGUGGAAACUUGGUGAGUUUCUUACUGCUUUUUCUGCUUCUUGUGGCUGUAGACUGGAUUUCAUGGAAACAAAGAAUGCUGGUUUGAUUCUUACAAUAUUGUUGUCCAACCUCUCAUUUUACAGCUGAGAAAAUAGAGGAUCAUGAGUGUCAAAUGACUUGUCUAAAUUUGUACAGCUUACUGGUGGCUUGAGUCCAGACUUAAAUGUAUGUUUCUGAUUACAAAUUCAUUACUUGGUUCUGACUAAAGGAUAUUCUUAGCUUCUCUCUUCUAUCUCUGUUCCUUCAACGACACCCAUCACUUUCCUCCUUCCAAACAUAUCAGAGGUCCUCUGAGAUCUUACAUUCUUUUUUUUUUUAACCUCUGGUGGUUGUUAUUAUUUUUCUAUCUGUGCAAGUAUGGAGAUAAAGAGAAUGAAACUUUAAGAAGCUAAAUGAAGAGUAUUGAAGUAUCAAUCAAAUGAAACAGUCAAAACUUUGCAAUUUCCCAACUUUCAUGAUCAGUGUUUAAAAAUGCAUAUGCAGAGUCCUGUGGAUAAUUAUGUGAUGUCUGCGAGGUUAACUAAGUGUUAGAUGUCCAAAGUCACCAAAAAAUAAAACAGCUUUCAAGGGCUGCCAACACCAGCAGAGCCCCAGUGGGCAUGUGUGGUUCUCUGCUUUGGAAAAUGUGUCUCAGCCAGUGAUGAAAAUCUAAACCACACAAACCACUUGGUUUCUAAGAGAACAAGUUUUGAGAAACCAUGUUUUGGAAUAAAGCCUCAAAUUUUCCAUUUCACAACAAAGUUCCCCAAAGAAGUUUUAUUUUAACAUUAUAAAGAAUACUGAGGAUAGCAGGAGUAAAGAAGGCUUAAAAUAAAGGAAAAGAAAAACCUAUUUUAAUGGUGAUGGACUUACAGAACUGGUGUGUAAAGAUGUCGUCUUGCCUAUUUAUUUCCUGUCUUACAACUCCUUUCCACAAAACCCCAACACUCCAUCUGGGUUUUCCAGUUCAAAGUUCUCCAAAAAGUUUACUUCUACAGUUUAAGUGUUGGUGCUUUAUGAAAAGUGUGGAAAACACUAGACUACAUGCUAAUGUUAAUUGAUUUUAAGCUCUCCCUGAACAUGAAUUGUGCUGCAAAAUUAGCCCGAGAGCCUUUAGACAUUCACAAGGGCCAAAGAGGGGAAAGUUAUAGAACAAAGAGUUUGGAGACAUGGAACCAUGUCACCCAUCUUACUCCAUCUAGCAGAUCUUGUGCGGCUAGCAGACCGAAGUCCUUUCCCUGUGUGAAUGAGGAUGGAACCAGGCCAGGAUUGGAGCUCUUAGCACUGCAUCUGAUCACCCUGGGCAAGUGGCUUAGCUUCCUUCUCUCAGUAUCUGUUUUGUUUUACAUCAAAUAAGUUAAUGCUUGUCUUCUACCUAAGGAGCCAUGCAAGGGAUAACAAAGAAAAGCAUGCUUAAUGAAUUACCAAGUGCUAUUCAUUCAUGAAGGUAAGCUUAUACACGAUUUUUUCAUUUUCAGUUUAUAAUUGGAAUGUAUUAUUUAAACUGCAUAGAGUCAACUACAAAUGGUUUAGAUACCUUCUAGUCCAGCAAUUAAAUUAAGAAUGCUUUUCCCUAUUUUGUAAUUUGAAGCAAAUACUGAAUAAUUAAAAUUAUUUAAAUUCAUGCCUGUCCAAUUUUAAUAUCUAAAAGCAAUAUAGGGAGGAAAUCCAAACACUCACCCAGGAAUGUAAAAACGUGAUCCAUGAAAGACAGUUAUUACUUUAAAAUUAUUACAACCAAGCAUAAUUAUAUAUAAGUCCACAUUAACUUGAUUGCCAACAAAUUUAAAAACAAACCACUCAGAUGUAUAUCCAUUUCAUAGCACUUGUUCAAUAUUGGGUUGAAAUUUCCUAUAAGGGUAAAAAACAAAACAAAACAAAAGACAAGACUCUGAAUCCCAAACAUCAGCUUAAUUUUUUGGAAGACAAAGGCUAAGCUACCACACGUUCAAGCUGGUAACCUUCCCAAGUCCUGCAUUGUAUUCUAUAAAUACAUUAGGUGUGAUUAGCAGGGUCAAGAGCAAAUGGUAUUGACUAUGUUGUAUGUCCAAGUGAUUAAUUAUAAAGAUAGAAGCCUGUGGGAACACAAAAAGGAAAUACAUAUGAAUGACUGAGAUAGGAUCCAAUUGUUUCAAACAUAUACACUGAAGGGAAAGCCAAGUGAUUCUGCAUUUUACCAGUGCUUCUAUCUGGAACCUCCUCUCAUGUUGUAUUAAGACAGUUCUCACUUCCCUGGAGUAAGCUUUUAUGAUGAACCAUAAUCAUUCGUAAAUUCAGUGUCUGUUGACCAUUUUCAAAUCUGCAUCAAGGACUCCCAGGAAAUUUUGCAUUGAUUCAAAGUUUUCUCAAGGUCAAGAACUCAUUCCCAAAGUCAAGACCAUUUUCAGUCUGAUGCACUUGAUCAAUUUUAUAGCUUCCCUAUGGUUAGUCAAGGUCUAGGUUAGUUAGUUCUUGAUUUUCCCUGGUUAGCAUCCUAAGUCAAUUGCAGAUGGCCUACAGUACAAUUACAACCUCCC